UCUCCGUUGGUGAACCAGCGGAGGGAUCAUUACCGAGUUUACAACUCCCAAACCCCAUGUGAACCUUACCAAACGUUGCUUCGGCGGGAUGCCCCGGGCGCGGGCCGCAAGGCCUCAGCCCCGGAACCAGGCGCCCGCCGGAGGCCCAAACCAAACUCUUGUUUUUGUAGAAUCUUCUGAGUGGCCUUUUAGGCAAAAAAUGAAUCAAAACUUUCAACAACGGAUCUCUUGGUUCCGACAUCGAUGAAGAACGCAGC
RNAcentral lists this unclassified non-coding RNA (257 nucleotides) under plant metagenome. RNAcentral's name for it is "partial contains small subunit ribosomal RNA, internal transcribed spacer 1, and 5.8S ribosomal RNA". The stretch from base 209 to 257 matches the Rfam family "5.8S ribosomal RNA", at positions 1 to 49 of the family's 154-position model. The record is from RNAcentral.